AUAUAUCAUCCACGUUUUUAUUUUUUUAUAGUGUGUGCUUAUUUAUUUUCACAUAUUAAAAAUACUUACUAUAAGUAGAAGUUUUCAUCAAAAAAAGUUAUAAACACAAGGAUUUUACUAUUAUUUAGGUAAUGACGACUUGGGAAGAGUAUGUUCAAUUCAAUGAUCAACCGAAUUAUGAGACAAAUAAUGCUCAUACAAACGCAUGUGAAGAUUGUGAAGUGUAUUUUCGAUUCAACAAUCAAACGAAUUAUAAAGUAUUUUUUAUAUAAGCACUUUUAUUUUUAAAAUUGUUUUUUAGAUGUUGUAAAUUGUAACGUGUGUUUUGUGUAGAUGAAUAAUGUUGAUACAAACGUAAAUGGAGGCGAUAGAAAUGAAAACGAGAAAUAACGUAGAUACUUCAUCAAUGACUCAAGUUUUCAAACUAAUAUGAUAUAAAAUUUCAGUUCA
This is a non-coding RNA of Lactuca sativa (garden lettuce), 450 nucleotides long. The record is from RefSeq and is a predicted model, not a curated record. Lineage: Eukaryota; Viridiplantae; Streptophyta; Magnoliopsida; Asterales; Asteraceae.